This 581-nucleotide ribosomal RNA is filed under the name Lactobacillus sp. BJ4-6B. RNAcentral describes it as "bacterial SSU rRNA". It matches the Rfam family "Bacterial small subunit ribosomal RNA", at positions 72 to 641 of the family's 1533-position model. Lineage: Bacteria; Bacillati; Bacillota; Bacilli; Lactobacillales; Lactobacillaceae. The record is from RNAcentral.
UGCAUUCACCGAAAGAAGCUUAGUGGCGAACGGGUGAGUAACACGUAGGCAACCUGCCCAAAAGAGGGGGAUAACACUUGGAAACAGGUGCUAAUACCGCAUAACCAUGAACANCGCAUGAUGUUCAUGUAAAAGACGGCUUUUGCUGUCACUUUUGGAUGGGCCUGCGGCGUAUUAACUUGUUGGUGGGGUAACGGCCUACCAAGGUGAUGAUACGUAGCCGAACUGAGAGGUUGAUCGGCCACAUUGGGACUGAGACACGGCCCAAACUCCUACGGGAGGCAGCAGUAGGGAAUCUUCCACAAUGGACGAAAGUCUGAUGGAGCAACGCCGCGUGAAUGAAGAAGGCCUUCGGGUCGUAAAAUUCUGUUGUCAGAGAAGAACGUGCGUGAGAGUAACUGUUCACGUAUUGACGGUAUCUGACCAGAAAGCCACGGCUAACUACGUGCCAGCAGCCGCGGUAAUACGUAGGUGGCGAGCGUUGUCCGGAUUUAUUGGGCGUAAAGGGAACGCAGGCGGUCUUUUAAGUCUGAUGUGAAAGCCUUCGGCUUAACCGAAGUAGUGCAUNGAAACUGGAAGAC